Molecule: ribosomal RNA, 497 nt
Filed under: uncultured bacterium
Lineage: Bacteria
Description: partial 16S ribosomal RNA
Rfam family: Bacterial small subunit ribosomal RNA
Source: RNAcentral
GAUGAACGCUGGCGGCGUGCCUAAUACAUGCAAGUCGAGCGAACAGACGAGGAGCUUGCUCCUCUGACGUUAGCGGCGGACGGGUGAGUAACACGUGGAUAACCUACCUAUAAGACUGGGAUAACUUCGGGAAACCGGAGCUAAUACCGGAUAAUAUAUUGAACCGCAUGGUUCAAUAGUGAAAGACGGUUUUGCUGUCACUUAUAGAUGGAUCCGCGCCGCAUUAGCUAGUUGGUAAGGUAACGGCUUACCAAGGCAACGAUGCGUAGCCGACCUGAGAGGGUGAUCGGCCACACUGGAACUGAGACACGGUCCAGACUCCUACGGGAGGCAGCAGUAGGGAAUCUUCCGCAAAGGGCGAAAGCUUGACGGAGCAACGCCGCGUGAGUGAAGAAGGUCUUCGGAUCGUAAAACUCUGUUAUUAGGGAAGAACAAAUGUGUAAGUAACUAUGCACGUCUUGACGGUACCUAAUCAGAAAGCCACGGCUAACUACGUG